This 505-nucleotide ribosomal RNA is filed under the name uncultured bacterium. RNAcentral's name for it is "partial 16S ribosomal RNA". It matches the Rfam family "Bacterial small subunit ribosomal RNA", at positions 30 to 523 of the family's 1533-position model. The record is from RNAcentral.
AUUGAACGCUGGCGGCAGGCCUAACACAUGCAAGUCGGGCGGCAGCGGAAAGUAGCUUGCUACUUUGCCGGCGAGCGGCGGACGGGUGAGUAAUGUCUGGGAAACUGCCUGAUGGAGGGGGAUAACUACUGGAAACGGUAGCUAAUACCGCAUAACGUCGCAAGACCAAAGAGGGGGACCUUCGGGCCUCUUGCCAUCAGAUGUGCCCAGAUGGGAUUAGCUAGUAGGUGGGUAACGGCUCACCUAGGCGACGAUCCCUAGCUGGUCUGAGAGGAUGACCAGCCACACUGGAACUGAGACACGGUCCAGACUCCUACGGGAGGCAGCAGUGGGGAAUAUUGCACAAUGGGCGCAAGCCUGAUGCAGCCAUGCCGCGUGUAUGAAGAAGGCCUUCGGGUUGUAAAGUACUUUCAGCGGGGAGGAAGGCGUUGAGGUUAAUAACCUCAGCGAUUGACGUUACCCGCAGAGGAAGCACCGGCUAACUCCGUGCCAGCCGCCGCAGUAA